GACGAACGCUGGCGGCGUGCUUAACACAUGCAAGUCGAACGGAAAGGCCCUGCUUUUGUGGGGUGCUCGAGUGGCGAACGGGUGAGUAACACGUGAGUAACCUGCCCUUGACUUUGGGAUAACUUCAGGAAACUGGGGCUAAUACCGGAUAGGAGCUCCUGCUACAUGGUGGGGGUUGGAAAGUUUCGGCGGUUGGGGAUGGACUCGCGGCUUAUCAGCUUGUUGGUGGGGUAGUGGCUUACCAAGGCUUUGACGGGUAGCCGGCCUGAGAGGGUGACCGGCCACAUUGGGACUGAGAUACGGCCCAGACUCCUACGGGAGGCAGCAGUGGGGAAUAUUGCACGAUGGGCGGAAGCCUGAUGCAGCAACGCCGCGUGCGGGAUGACGGCCUUCGGGUUGUAAACCGCUUUCGCCUGUGACGAAGCGUGAGUGACGGUAAUGGGUAAAGAAGCACCGGCUAACUACGUG
Molecule: ribosomal RNA, 468 nt
Filed under: uncultured bacterium
Lineage: Bacteria
Description: partial 16S ribosomal RNA
Rfam family: Bacterial small subunit ribosomal RNA
Source: RNAcentral